UCAUAUAGUGGUUGUUCCGCACCGUAGUCAUACUCUGGUAUCAAAGAUUGAGCCAUGCAUGUGUAAGUAUACAUAGUUAACUUCGAAACUGUGAAUGGUUCAUUAUAUCAGUUAUAGUCAAUCCAAUGAAAUGUCAUAAUGGAUAACCGUAGUAAUUGUAGAGCUAAUACAUGUUCAAGGUGGGUAAGAUAGCAGCUAUUAGAAUGAAAACCAUAGGUUUCGGCUUUUUCGUGAGUAAUCUCCGAAAUCAUACCCAAAGUCUAAGUAACGAGGUAUCGCCCAAGUAUUUCAAUACUCAGCCAUCGAAAGUAGAUAGGGCAGAAACCAGAACGACACAUGGUUACGAAAGCAUAGGGUUAUGAUUAGGAGAGGGAGCCACGAAUAGGCCGAAACAUACAAGGAAGGCAGCAUAAGUGCAAUUUACACGACCUUGACACAGGGAGGUAUUGACAAUAAAUCACAUUGUGCAACAAGGACAUGCAAUCAAAUGAGAACAACGUACAAACCGAGCCGAUAAACAAUUGGAAAGCAAGUUAGGUGUCAGCACACAUGGGUGAUUCAUUUUGGCGAG
Molecule: ribosomal RNA, 571 nt
Filed under: Blastocystis hominis
Lineage: Eukaryota; Bigyra; Opalinata; Blastocystidae
Description: SSU rRNA
Rfam family: Eukaryotic small subunit ribosomal RNA
Source: RNAcentral